GAGCCCCUCUCUGCUCUCCAG
RNAcentral lists this microRNA (21 nucleotides) under Homo sapiens (human). RNAcentral's name for it is "hsa-miR-6769a-3p". Lineage: Eukaryota; Metazoa; Chordata; Mammalia; Primates; Hominidae. The record is from miRBase by way of RNAcentral.